ACGAACGCUGGCGGCGUGCUUAACACAUGCAAGUCGAACGGAAAGGCCCUGCUUUUGUGGGGUGCUCGAGUGGCGAACGGGUGAGUAACACGUAAGUAACCUGCCCUUGACUUUGGGAUAACUUCAGGAAACUGGGGCUAAUACCGGAUAGGAGCUCCUGCUGCAUGGUGGGGGUUGGAAAGUUUCGGCGGUUGGGGAUGGAUUCGCGGCUUAUCAGCUUGUUGGUGGGGUAGUGGCUUACCAAGGCUUUGACGGGUAGCCGGCCUGAGAGGGUGACCGGCCACAUUGGGACUGAGAUACGGCCCAGACUCCUACGGGAGGCAGCAGUGGGGAAUAUUGCACAAUGGGCGGAAGCCUGAUGCAGCAACGCCGCGUGCGGGAUGACGGCCUUCGGGUUGUAAACCGCUUUCGCCUGUGACGAAGCGUGAGUGACGGUAAUGGGUAAAGAAGCACCGGCUAACUACGUG
RNAcentral lists this ribosomal RNA (467 nucleotides) under uncultured bacterium. Its description in RNAcentral is "partial 16S ribosomal RNA". It matches the Rfam family "Bacterial small subunit ribosomal RNA", at positions 29 to 507 of the family's 1533-position model. The record is from RNAcentral.